This 30-nucleotide non-coding RNA is filed under the name Mus musculus (house mouse). The record is from RNAcentral. Lineage: Eukaryota; Metazoa; Chordata; Mammalia; Rodentia; Muridae.
UAAAAUGUAUCUGAAGAUAGAAGCAAAGGC